RNAcentral lists this small RNA (586 nucleotides) under Histoplasma capsulatum. Its description in RNAcentral is "hypothetical RNA". The record is from RNAcentral. RNAcentral also lists the same sequence under 1 other name. Lineage: Eukaryota; Fungi; Ascomycota; Eurotiomycetes; Onygenales; Ajellomycetaceae.
ACACAACUAACCCCUCUACCGCCCGCUCGCCUUCUCACAUGCUCACGCACGCCCACAAAACACUCCCCUUCUCGCGAUUCCGCCCCACGAUCACGUAGUCCCUAACAACAAUUCCUCCACAUAAUCCUUAACAUUCUUCCACUCCGCGCCCCCACCACAGUGUGACCUCUGAUAUUCUUCCAUUCUGAUUCUCUUUCUAUAAGAACCCCUUUUAUACAACCUUUCCUUCGGAUCUCUUUUCUCUUUCUUUCCUUAAUCAAUUUGUAAUCUGUAUUAGGAUAGUGCUUAGUCUGUUUGUACACCGUUGCAGAUAGUGCAGACAGUACAAAUGGUACAAUCCACAAUGUUGGCUUAAUCGGUAGCACACCCGUUACACAGUAUCAGUUUUUAUUGAGGAGAUUACAACUGAAUAUAAUUUUUAAAAAAAUAAGUCUGAAAAAUAAACCAUACUCAGCUCUUCACUCUCUCAAAAUUUUAUAUAUAUUAAACAACUUUUAUACACUCUCACUGUAUAUUAUUAAUCAACUUUUAUUUAAUUAGUUCUUCUACUUCAAUAUCUGAGACUCUCUAAUAUCUAAAAAGCAGU